GAGGUAAUAGCUCAGUGGUAGAGUGCAUGCUCAGCAUGCAUGAGGUCCUGGGUUCAAUCCCCAGUACCCCCA
RNAcentral lists this transfer RNA (72 nucleotides) under Camelus ferus (Wild Bactrian camel). It matches the Rfam family "tRNA". Rfam says of the family: Transfer RNA (tRNA) molecules are approximately 80 nucleotides in length. Their secondary structure includes four short double-helical elements and three loops (D, anti-codon, and T loops). The record is from Rfam by way of RNAcentral. Lineage: Eukaryota; Metazoa; Chordata; Mammalia; Artiodactyla; Camelidae.